GUGUCAGCAGCCGCGGUAAUACGUAGGGACCAAGCGUUGUUCGGAUUUACUGGGCGUAAAGGGCGCGUAGGCGGCGUGUUAAGUCAGCUGUGAAAUCUCCGAGCUUAACUCGGAACGGUCAGCUGAUACUGAUGUGCUAGAGUGCAGAAGGGGCAAUCGGAAUUCUUGGUGUAGCGGUGAAAUGCGUAGAUAUCAAGAGGAACACCUGAGGUGAAGACGGGUUGCUGGGCUGACACUGACGCUGAGGCGCGAAAGCUAGGGUAGCAAACGGGAUUAGAUACCCCGGUAGUCCUAGCCCUAAACGAUGAAUACUUGGUGUCUGGAGUAAUUUAAUUCUCCGGGUGCCGUCGCUAACGUUUUAAGUAUUCCGCCUGGGGAGUACGCACGCAAGUGUGAA
This 397-nucleotide ribosomal RNA is filed under the name uncultured bacterium. Its description in RNAcentral is "bacterial SSU rRNA". It matches the Rfam family "Bacterial small subunit ribosomal RNA", at positions 505 to 898 of the family's 1533-position model. The record is from RNAcentral.